GUGUGAAAGGAUUUUAUUUAGAGAAAUAGAUAAAACUAUUAUAUCUUGGAGUGAAACCCCUACUCUAACCAAAAUCUUUUAGUUGUAGUAAAAUAUUAUAUGGAAAAUAUAGUCUUUUUAGUGUUGAAUUGACAAAGUUGCCCUUACUAAUAUAUUUUGAUUAAUUAGUUUUGUACUAAUUUUCAAAAAUUUCACAAAAUAGUAAAAUCAAAAAAAGUUAAAAGAAAA
This 228-nucleotide long non-coding RNA is filed under the name Salvia miltiorrhiza (redroot sage). RNAcentral describes it as "long non-coding RNA (SMIL_LNC010016)". Lineage: Eukaryota; Viridiplantae; Streptophyta; Magnoliopsida; Lamiales; Lamiaceae. The record is from RNAcentral.